Molecule: microRNA precursor, 93 nt
Filed under: Corchorus capsularis
Lineage: Eukaryota; Viridiplantae; Streptophyta; Magnoliopsida; Malvales; Malvaceae
Description: MIR2275 microRNA precursor family
Rfam family: MIR2275 microRNA precursor family
Source: Rfam by way of RNAcentral
AAGCUGUAAGUGAGUAUUGGAGGGAACUUAACAAGCUGGAAUUUCCUUUCUUUUUCAUUUGUUAAGUUUUCUCCAAUAUCUCAUCUCCAGCCU